GACGUAGGUGGCGAACGUUGUCCGGAAUUAUUGGGCGUAAAGAGCUCGUAGGCGGUCUGUCACGUCUGCUGUGAAAACUCGGGGCUUAACCCCGGGCCUGCAGUGGGUACGGGCAGACUAGAGUGCGGUAGGGGAGACUGGAAUUCCUGGUGUAGCGGUGAAAUGCGUAGAUAUCGAGAGGAACACCAGUGGCGAAGGCGGAUCUCUGGGCCUUACCUGACGCUGAGGCGCGAAAUCUAGGGGAGCGAACAGG
RNAcentral lists this ribosomal RNA (253 nucleotides) under uncultured bacterium. Its description in RNAcentral is "partial 16S ribosomal RNA". It matches the Rfam family "Bacterial small subunit ribosomal RNA", at positions 524 to 776 of the family's 1533-position model. The record is from RNAcentral.